Molecule: ribosomal RNA, 441 nt
Filed under: uncultured bacterium
Lineage: Bacteria
Description: bacterial SSU rRNA
Rfam family: Bacterial small subunit ribosomal RNA
Source: RNAcentral
GCAGAACGCGAAGAACCUUACCUGGGCUAGAAAGCGCAAGAACCUCGGUGAAAACUGAGGGUGCCCUUCGGGGAACUUGUGAUUAGGUGCUGCAUGGCUGUCGUCAGCUCGUGUCGUGAGAUGUUGGGUUAAGUCCCGCAACGAGCGCAACCCUUGCUGUUAGUUGCCAUCAUUAAGUUGGGCACUCUAACAGGACUGCCGACCUUUAAGUCGGAGGAAGGUGGGGAUGACGUCAAGUCCUCAUGGCCCUUACGUCCAGGGCUACACACGUGCUACAAUGACCGGUACAAAGGGUUGCCAAACCGCGAGGUGGAGCCAAUCCCAAAAAGCCGGCCUCAGUACGGAUAAGAGUCUGCAACUCGACUCUUUGAAGGCGGAAUCGCUAGUAAUCCCUGAUCAGCAUAGCAGGGGUGAAUACGUUCCCGGGUCUUGUACACACCG